CUCUCGGCAACGGAUAUCUCGGCUCUCGCAUCGAUGAAGAACGUAGCGAAAUGCGAUACUUGGUGUGAAUUGCAGAAUCCCGUGAACCAUCGAGUCUUUGAACGCAAGUUGCGCCCGAAGCCUUCUGGCCGAGGGCACGCCUGCCUGGGCGUC
Molecule: ribosomal RNA, 153 nt
Filed under: Veronica hederifolia (ivy-leaved speedwell)
Lineage: Eukaryota; Viridiplantae; Streptophyta; Magnoliopsida; Lamiales; Plantaginaceae
Description: 5.8S ribosomal RNA
Rfam family: 5.8S ribosomal RNA
About the family: 5.8S ribosomal RNA (5.8S rRNA) is a component of the large subunit of the eukaryotic ribosome. It is transcribed by RNA polymerase I as part of the 45S precursor that also contains 18S and 28S rRNA.
Source: RNAcentral